UAUUUUCCUGUCUUUGUGGUGGGACUUUACAUUCAUAUGUUCCUGUAUCAUCAGUCGUCACCUUCUUCAGAAUCAGAAACACGUCUCCAUCCUUCAUCU
Melanotaenia boesemani (Boeseman's rainbowfish) is the source of this 99-nucleotide long non-coding RNA. RefSeq lists it as uncharacterized. Lineage: Eukaryota; Metazoa; Chordata; Actinopteri; Atheriniformes; Melanotaeniidae. The transcript is spliced from 3 exons. The record is from RefSeq and is a predicted model, not a curated record.